Non-coding RNA from Paramuricea clavata, 1992 nucleotides. The record is from the annotation of a GenBank genome assembly. Lineage: Eukaryota; Metazoa; Cnidaria; Anthozoa; Malacalcyonacea; Plexauridae.
GCCUUUGAUUUUUAAAAUAUGAAUGUAUAACAAUUAUUUGAAAAUUCAUAUUUUAAAACAACAGACAGCAGAUUUAGGCUUGUUUUUAUUUGAUGGAAAUUAUAAACUUUGAAGUCACAUGGAUUUUGAAUUAUGCUUUAAAGAAUGCAGUAUAUUCGAGGUAAACGAUUUUAUGAUGCAUAUAUAAAAUUAUAUUCUCAUAUCUUUUAAUAUUUAUCAAUUUAUAUAUCAUAAAUUCCAGCAGAUUCGUGGCUGUCUGUUUGUAUAAUUAGUUUUCUUCGUUUAAUUACUCCUCCAUCGCUUUUGGAUAUAAACCCUCCUUCAUGCCUGAUAUAUUUUUUGGUUAUCUCCAUCCUUCACUUAGUAAUUCACUAAGGCCAUGGGAAUGAAAGUCAUAGAUUUGCGUCCACCGCCCGCAUGCCUCAAAAGCUACCGCCUAAAAUUUUCAUUAUUUACAAAAAAAUUCAUUAUUUUCACAAAUAAAGCAAAACUCAAUAACAUUAGCAAUAAAAUUGUGUAUUGAUUACAAUAAAAUGAACAUAUUGUAGUGUGUUGUCCUCAGUAUCCACAUUCUAUGAAAUUCCAAAUUAUAUUCACCGAAAUGGCGAAAUUGGCACACAGAUCUUCAGUACUGCAACUGCGUGAGCUCGAGAUAUAUGUAAUUCCGUGGCGUAAACGGUAAUUCGUGUUUUGAUCUCUGUAUUUACCACCCAAAAGGAUGGUAAAAAAAUAAUGAAUAAUGAAUAAUGAAAAAAACCCGCAUGUUUUUUCAAAAUUAUCCGGACGCAAAUCUAUGACUUUCAUUCCCAUGGCCUAAAAUCAAAAUUUUCUGUUCCAGCUUGCUCAGAAAAUAUUCAAUCUUUCAUAACUGGAGUUAUCUUUGGCAUGUAAAAUCAUUAGGCAGUACCCUCAGUAAAAUACUUAUUUAACUGGCUGACCAUUACAGUAGUCAAAAGUUAAUAAAUGAAUACAUGCAAAAAUUACAAAUUAACUGCCCUCAUACCAAUCCAUUGGUCUCUGAUUCAUCCAAUAAAUACUUAACAGAAUAGUAUGAUAAUAAUAGAAAAGUGUGAAAAUGCCAACGUUACCUAACUUUGUGUGACAAGAAAGUUAGGUUACAUUAAUUUUACAGUCAGGUAUUCUUUUCUUUAUCGCCUCAAUACUCUGGUUGAUGAUUCCAAUGGCCCCCAUAAAAUUCCAAUGGCCCCCAUAAAUUUCCAAUGGCCCCCAUAAAUUUUACUGGAGAAAAUGUUUCCCCCACUUCUUGCCAUUAAAUCUCCAUAGCCCCCAAUUUUACCCAUCCAAUUAGGGAGAGUCUUGUGUGGUCACACUAUAGUAAUGGGAAUAUGGGAUAAUCAAAUAUGGCAUACUUUGUUAUUUUUCUCUGUCCAACACCAGACAAUUUUACUUGUCAAGUGUAAGGUUAAGUGAGUAAUAAAAAGUGGCUGGAUAUUCUAACUUUUGCUCCAUAUACAGUAAUUGGACUUUGGUUGUGAGCAAAAUGUAAAAAGACAAUUACCAGUAAUACUGGCCUUACUACCUCCCUAUUAUUUACCUUGCAACCUUGAGCAGUUGUGCUGUUACAGCAGAAUGUGGUUUCAAAUGACAGUUAUUUUAUGGCAAUUAUGAUAUUCCAGUGUGCCAGUAAGACAUUUGUCGUUUGUUUCUCUUUUAGUAUUAUAUCGAAAAGGUGAUUGCAGGGUAUUCAGAUCCUGGAGUGAUGUGAAAUGGCCAUGACAUUGGGCAAUUUAUAAGUAAUAUAUGAGUGGUGUAAAAUAGGAAAUUUUUUAUUAAUUCUGAUUGACUAAUAAAAUUAGAAUGGUGAGAAUAAUGAUGAUGGUAGUGAAAUACAAGUUGUGAUGAUAUUGGUGAUGCACAAGUUGUAAUGAUACUGCUGAUAAUGAUAAAAAAUAUAUUGUAUUUGUAAUGAGACAUAAAUACUAGAGAUUGGCAGUAAUGAAUGUGUAUGACUUGAUCAAUUGUGCUGGUGAG